RNAcentral lists this ribosomal RNA (870 nucleotides) under uncultured low G+C Gram-positive bacterium. Its description in RNAcentral is "bacterial SSU rRNA". It matches the Rfam family "Bacterial small subunit ribosomal RNA", at positions 1 to 835 of the family's 1533-position model. Lineage: Bacteria; Bacillati; Bacillota. The record is from RNAcentral.
GCCCUUAGAGUUUGAUCAUGGCUCAGGACGAACGCUGGCGGCGUGCCUAAUACAUGCAAGUCGAGCGCGUGAAGCUAAACUGAUUCCUCCGGGAUGACGUUUAGUGGAACGAGCGGCGGACGGGUGAGUAACACGUGGGCAACCUACCUAUAAGACUGGGAUAACUCGUGGAAACGCGAGCUAAUACCGGAUAAUACAAACGACCUCCUGGUCGAUUGUUGAAAGAUGGCUCUUCGAGCUAUCACUUACAGAUGGGCCCGCGGCGCAUUAGCUAGUUGGUGAGGUAACGGCUCACCAAGGCAACGAUGCGUAGCCGACCUGAGAGGGUGAUCGGCCACACUGGGACUGAGACACGGCCCAGACUCCUACGGGAGGCAGCAGUAGGGAAUCUUCCGCAAUGGACGAAAGUCUGACGGAGCAACGCCGCGUGAACGAAGAAGGUUUUCGGAUCGUAAAGUUCUGUUGUUAGGGAAGAACAAGUACCGUUCGAAUAGGGCGGUACCUUGACGGUACCUAACGAGGAAGCCCCGGCUAACUACGUGCCAGCAGCCGCGGUAAUACGUAGGGGGCAAGCGUUGUCCGGAAUUAUUGGGCGUAAAGCGCGCGCAGGCGGUUUUUUAAGUCUGAUGUGAAAUCUUGUGGCUCAACCACAAGCGGUCAUUGGAAACUGGAGAACUUGAGGACAGAAGAGGAGAGUGGAAUUCCACGUGUAGCGGUGAAAUGCGUAGAUAUGUGGAGGAACACCAGUGGCGAAGGCGACUCUCUGGUCUGUAACUGACGCUGAGGCGCGAAAGCGUGGGGAGCGAACAGGAUUAGAUACCCUGGUAGUCCACGCCGUAAACGAUGAGUGCUAGGUGUUAGGGGGUUUCC